Molecule: long non-coding RNA, 460 nt
Filed under: Ananas comosus (pineapple)
Lineage: Eukaryota; Viridiplantae; Streptophyta; Magnoliopsida; Poales; Bromeliaceae
Description: long non-coding RNA (ACOM_LNC009290)
Source: RNAcentral
UUUUUUUUUUUUUUGGAGAUAAGUAGCAUGCUACCCGCUUCGUUUAUUUCAUUUAGAAAUAAACUUAGCUGAAAAUGUGAAUCAAUUAGGAUUCAAACUUGGGUCUCGGGUACCAACCAUCAAGCCCUUUGCCACUUGCUCUAGGGACAGUCGGUGCCAUGCUUCAGUUCUUGUUUACACAAAAAUAGCUGUUAAUAGAGUUUUUGACAAAAUAAAAAAGUCUAAAGCUUCUGCCACUGUGGGAAGUAGAACUUAAUGAUAUUCUUUUUUUUGAGAGAUAGGUAGCAUGCUACCCACUUCGUUUAUUUAGUUAGAAAUGUAAAUCAACUAGGAUUCGAACUUGGAACCUCAGGUACUAACCAUCAAGUCCUUUGUCAUUUGCGCUAGGGACGAUCAAUAGAACUUAAUGACAUUCUAAGCUUCAAAAGUAAAGAAACUAUAUAUGUUGGUACUUCUGAUU